RNAcentral lists this unclassified non-coding RNA (1043 nucleotides) under Leishmania donovani. Its description in RNAcentral is "gene:unknown". Lineage: Eukaryota; Euglenozoa; Kinetoplastea; Trypanosomatida; Trypanosomatidae. The record is from RNAcentral.
UCGCUUGCCUUCCCUCCUUCCGCCCCUUCCUAGGGUUUCCCGCCGCGCCUAGUCUCUGCUCUCUGAUGUUGGCGAUACUGAAGGACAUGAAGCUGGCCCCGUUGUGAAGCGGGAGUGGGUGGGCCGGUUGGUGGAGGGAGGAAGCGUGACAUCACAGCCAAGCAGAGGCACAGGAUAUGCGGGAGAGUGUUGAUCAACGAUGUGCAGCAGCUACCUCCGGUACGCGCACACCCACCCACCCACCCACCCACACACACACACACACACAAACGUCUUCGCCACCUAUGCACACGUGACUGGCUGCGUCGGCUUGCGUGUAACACGAUGCCACGCGGGUGCGUGACGUGAACUUUGCCGUUGCCCGCCACCCCCUCGCUGCUUUCAUUUUCUCCUCGCGCUGUGUUCCUCUGCUCUCUCCCGCUCCUCGCUGCACAGCGUGUGCCUCUGGUGAACCGAGGUGUACUCGUCGAGGGACCGAGAGAGCUUCGGGUUGCUGUGUGAGAGGGAGGUGAGUGGGCCGGUGGGGCGUUGGGGGGUUGGGGCAGCAGCGGACGACGGAUUGAUGCAAUGCAGGCAGAUAAGUGAAUGCUAAAUGGAAGCAAAGGUAUCGGGCAGCGACACAGGGAAAGAUGGAGGGGUAGGCCCGCGAGUGGUGAGGCUGUAGGCGGCAGCUACGCACGUCCCGCUCCUCGCUACUGCCCUCUUUCCCCUUUUAUGUGCCUUGGCAAAGUCGAUGGAUGCCGUCGCCAGCAUACGCGUGCAAAAAGACGCGGGCAUCCACACCCACCCAUGCCUCACAGAGGGUACGUAGCGGCACCUGCGAGCUCGCUUCUGUUGCCGCUCCGCUUCUCCGCCAACAGCCUUUCCCCGCCUUCACCUUCUCCCGCCCCCUUCCCCUUCGUGCGAUCGCCGCGCACGCGCCCGUUUUCGUUUUUUUUUUUGCUCGUGUCUGUGGUUACCGUCGUGGAACACUCGUGGGCGCAUGGGCACGCUGACGGACCGCUGCGCAUACGUAUGCGCGGCCCCUGUCCCUUGGCAGGUAG